Molecule: ribosomal RNA, 473 nt
Filed under: uncultured bacterium
Lineage: Bacteria
Description: bacterial SSU rRNA
Rfam family: Bacterial small subunit ribosomal RNA
Source: RNAcentral
GAUGAACGCUGGCGGCGUGCUUAACACAUGCAAGUCGAACGAAGCUGCUUAACUGAUCUUCUUCGGAAUUGAUGUUUUGUAGACUGAGUGGCGGACGGGUGAGUAACGCGUGGGUAACCUACCCUGUACAGGGGGAUAACAGUCAGAAAUGACUGCUAAUACCGCAUAAGACCACAGCACCGCAUGGUGCAGGGGUAAAAGCUCCGGUGGUACAGGAUGGACCCGCGUCUGAUUAGCUGGUUGGUGAGGUAACGGCUCACCAAGGCGACGAUCAGUAGCCGGCUUGAGAGAGUGAACGGCCACAUUGGGACUGAGACACGGCCCAAACUCCUACGGGAGGCAGCAGUGGGGAAUAUUGCACAAUGGGGGAAACCCUGAUGCAGCGACGCCGCGUGAGUGAAGAAGUAUCUCGGUAUGUAAAGCUCUAUCAGCAGGGAAGAAAAUGACGGUACCUGACUAAGAAGCCCCGGCUA